Molecule: long non-coding RNA, 1768 nt
Organism: Equus caballus (horse)
Lineage: Eukaryota; Metazoa; Chordata; Mammalia; Perissodactyla; Equidae
Source: Ensembl
GGUGACAUCUGUGAACCAGUGUAUCACAAAGUUGAACACGCAUGGGAAUCACUUGCAGGUCUUGUUAAUGGGCAAAUUCCUAAGCCUCACCCUCAGAGAUCUGAUUUACAGGUCUAAGGUGAGGCCCAGGAAUUUGUAUUUCUAACAAGCACCCAGAUGGUAUGGCUGGCCCCCUGGCCCCACCAUGAGCAGCAGUAUGCUCAGCAUUUCAACCUGGCCUCUGUCCUGAAGUCUGUAAGCAUUGCAGUUUUUGCAUGAGACUGUAUGUAGGGUCAGUAAAUGUUUGAUAAGACACUUUAUGAUACCCAAUUUUCAUCUCACUUCUUGCCAAGGACUUGGCAAAUCUUAUGUUUGUGGACUGUUUACAAUUUACAUGCAUUAUGUUACGUUUGUGGAGUGGUUUAUAAUUUACAUGCAUUAUGUUAUUUGGCCCAGUGGGGUAUGGUUUUGUCCACUUUACAAAUUAAGCAAUGGAGGCUGAGAUUUACUUACGUUCAAAGAGUGCUCUAUAGACUCUGAGCCAGGCCUUUGGAUGCUAAGUCCUGUAGUCUGUUCACUCCACCAUAGCUGCUCACCUCCAUUUCCUGUCGUGAAGGGGUUUUCUCAAUGCUAUGAGGCAGUGGAAUACACACUAUCUGAGUGCGACAGAGAUAGAACUUAGGUGAGAAAAGGAAUCCCAAAAUAGAGGCUGCGAGAGUGAUGUCAGCAUCACGGCAGAGUGAGUUGUUCCUUUAGUCUCUUCCCCCCAAGUUACAACUAAAUGGACAUUCGUUAACCAGCAGAGGAUUCCCUGCACAGCAUGAUAGGACAUCUGAGAGAUCCACACAGCUGCACAUCUGAAGAACUGUGAGCUCCUUGCAUCAGGGUCCAGGAGUUGCUCAUCUGCAUACCCUCGGCAUACACCACCCAGAUAUGGCUGUGUGUAGGGGCGACACACGUGCACGCCGAGUUAAGUCAGCAUGGACGGGUGCCAGGUGCCAGGCUCCACCACCAACAAAUCACACCCUCUCCACAGCCCCACUACAGCCCUUCUGAGACUUGUGUCUAUAAAUUGUGCCAUGACAAGUCGCCUGGAAACUUCCUUUGCUGCUGGCAGCUCCACACCCAUGCAUUUCCUUUUUCCUGUAAAAAAAAUCCAUUCCCAGCUCCAACUCAAGACAGAAGGAAAUUACCUCAUCCUCAUUCUGUGCAUUCCAGAGAAUUAGCUCACCCGCAUUGGGAGACUGUCAAUCAAGUCUCCCCUCUCUCCCCAGCCGGGCGGUGGGCUUAUUAUCCAAGCUGGGCCGACUGGAUUCUCCCUUUUAGGUGUUGAAUCUGGAUCAGCAUCAGAAGUGCAGAGAUGUGUUAGAGCUGACACAUGCCAACAGGCUCCCUCACCCGACAGGCAUGGUGCCUGCCUCGAAGACCCCCAGGGACACCCCAGUUCCUGUUCAUUCUAGCCUGGGUGGACUGAGCAAGACUGAAGUUAAUGUUUGCUGUGAGCCUGGUGCUAAAUUAGAAGGAAAUUGAGUUCUUCUUACCCUACAUGAAUUGGUGAACUGAGGGACCAAACCAUGGGGUGUCCAGCAUCAUGCUGAGGAUAACGAGUUAAUCCACAAAUACCGAUGGACUGAUGGAGAGUGUGAACUCUUCCUCCAUAACGGAGUACUGAAUUCCAGCAUUGCCAAACAUGCAUGACUUUCUCCAUUUGGGUCAAAUAAGGAGAGGUAUGCACCUCUUCUUUCUGCUCUUCUCCUUCCUUUUGCUCUUUUUCUUUUUGGUUUCUUUC